RNAcentral lists this unclassified non-coding RNA (337 nucleotides) under soil metagenome. RNAcentral's name for it is "partial contains 5.8S ribosomal RNA, internal transcribed spacer 2, and large subunit ribosomal RNA". The stretch from base 1 to 120 matches the Rfam family "5.8S ribosomal RNA", at positions 35 to 154 of the family's 154-position model. The record is from RNAcentral.
GAUGCAGAACGUAGCGAAAUGCGAUAAGUAGUGUGAAUUGCAGAAUUCAGUGAAUCAUCGAAUCUUUGAACGCACAUUGCGCCCCUUGGUAUUCCAUGGGGCAUGCCUGUUCGAGCGUCAUUUGUACCUUCAAGCUCUGCUUGGUGUUGGGUGUUUGUCUCGCCUCUGCGUGUAGACUCGCCUCAAAACAAUUGGCAGCCGGCGUAUUGAUUUCGGAGCGCAGUACAUCUCGCGCUUUGCACUCAUAACGACGACGUCCAAAAGUACAUUUUUACACUCUUGACCUCGGAUCAGGUAGGGAUACCCGCUGAACUUAAGCAUAUCAAUAAGCGGAGGA